GCCGGAGUGGCGGAAUUGGCAGACGCAUCAGACUCAAAAUCUGACGAGGAUUUCCCUCAUAAGGGUUCGAUUCCCUUCUCCGGCA
RNAcentral lists this transfer RNA (85 nucleotides) under Candidatus Aminicenantota bacterium. Its description in RNAcentral is "Candidatus Aminicenantes bacterium tRNA-Leu". It matches the Rfam family "tRNA". Rfam says of the family: Transfer RNA (tRNA) molecules are approximately 80 nucleotides in length. Lineage: Bacteria; Candidatus Aminicenantota. The record is from RNAcentral.